GGAAGCGUAGUUCAGAUGGUUGAUUUCUCGAUUAUCGUGCGAGAGGUACGGGGAUCGAUACCCCACGCCUUCA
Molecule: non-coding RNA, 73 nt
Organism: Trichonephila clavipes
Lineage: Eukaryota; Metazoa; Arthropoda; Arachnida; Araneae; Nephilidae
Source: the annotation of a GenBank genome assembly